UACGAAGGGGGCUAGCGUUGCUCGGAAUUACUGGGCGUAAAGGGAGCGUAGGCGGGUUAUCAAGUUGGGGGUGAAAGCCCGGGGCUCAACCUCGGAAUUGCCUUCAAAACUGAUAACCUGGAGUAUGGAAGAGGUAAGUGGAACUCCGAGUGUAGAGGUGAAAUUCGUAGAUAUUCGGAAGAACACCAGUGGCGAAGGCGACACACUGGCCCGUUACUGACGCUGAGGCGCGAAAGCGUGGGGAGCAAACAGG
This 253-nucleotide ribosomal RNA is filed under the name uncultured bacterium. RNAcentral's name for it is "partial 16S ribosomal RNA". It matches the Rfam family "Bacterial small subunit ribosomal RNA", at positions 524 to 776 of the family's 1533-position model. The record is from RNAcentral.